UAUUGGAGAGCAUCGGGUCAUGCUUGCGCCAACCCGGUCAGGUUCGGAAGAAAGCAGCCGUAACGAUUUAGGAUGAGGUCGAUGUUUCUCCGCCUUGA
RNAcentral lists this signal recognition particle RNA (98 nucleotides) under Alphaproteobacteria bacterium. Its description in RNAcentral is "signal recognition particle sRNA small type". It matches the Rfam family "Bacterial small signal recognition particle RNA". Rfam says of the family: The signal recognition particle (SRP) is a universally conserved ribonucleoprotein involved in the co-translational targeting of proteins to membranes. Lineage: Bacteria; Pseudomonadati; Pseudomonadota; Alphaproteobacteria. The record is from RNAcentral.